This 310-nucleotide unclassified non-coding RNA is filed under the name plant metagenome. Its description in RNAcentral is "partial contains 5.8S ribosomal RNA, internal transcribed spacer 2, and large subunit ribosomal RNA". The stretch from base 1 to 105 matches the Rfam family "5.8S ribosomal RNA", at positions 50 to 154 of the family's 154-position model. The record is from RNAcentral.
GAAAUGCGAUAAGUAGUGUGAAUUGCAGAAUUCAGUGAAUCAUCGAAUCUUUGAACGCACAUUGCGCCCCUUGGUAUUCCAUGGGGCAUGCCUGUUCGAGCGUCAUUUGUACCCUCGAGCUCUGCUUGGUGUUGGGUGUUUGUCCCCGUCUCCGCGCGUGGACUCGCCCCAAAGUGAUUGGCAGCCGGCGUACUGGUCCCGGAGCGCAGCACAUGUCGCGCAAACGAGUGCCUUGGUACGGCGGCGUCCAUAAGCCCCUCUCUCACGCUCUUGACCUCGGAUCAGGUAGGGAUACCCGCUGAACUUAAGC